Molecule: non-coding RNA, 1250 nt
Organism: Paramisgurnus dabryanus
Lineage: Eukaryota; Metazoa; Chordata; Actinopteri; Cypriniformes; Cobitidae
Source: RefSeq, a predicted model, not a curated record
AAUAAAUCUGUCAGAAGAAAGUGUGUAAAAGUUUGACUACAGUAACCAUAUCUAACCAAGCUUCAAGUACCAAGAUAAUUAUUUCAUUUAUUUCUCUGAAUUCAGAUCAACUGUUCAUUUAUGCAGUUUAUGCUUUAUUUAUAGGUAGCAUAACUGUUACUUUUUUUUACAGUUCUGCAUAUAUAAUAUGACAAACCUAGGAGACUUUGCUGUAAGAGAAUUAAUCAUGUUUUUGUUUUCUUUUCUCAGGUCCGGUCAGUACCCACCACCCUUCCCUGUUAACAUCACCCACAGUUUAUACUUUUUCUUAGAAAACCAACGGCUCUUUUAAGAGCCACUUCUAUAAUCAACUCACUCACUCUUCUCAAGUAAGUAUUGCUUUUUAAUUUUUUAAUCUUGCCCUGCUUUGUACUUCUCAAAGUCUCUUUCACUCUCUCCCGUUUACUCUUAUCUUUAUUAGAAAUGCCAGGCCAGGGGUCAACAACUAGAAAGUGUGUGGUCUGCCAUACACAACUAAAUGUAGCUUGCAAAACCUGCAACACAUGCAAGGUAGAGCAACCACAUAAGUUUAGGGUAAAAAAGAACUGAAGAAAUUUGAUCAGAAGCGUGAGAGCUGGGUGCAUGAUGAAGAUGAAGAUAUGGAAGAUAUGCUGGCCUGGAAGAAAACCAAAUGCUUGGGGGUCUGAGGUUUUGACACCCCGUUGUCACUGGACUGAGACAUCCAUUACAUGCUUGGAAAGAUUAAAGAACCUAUUCAAGGCGGGACCUCUCAAGGUGUUGCAGAACAAGUCAAUAAAACCUCAUCAGCCCGAGUUGAAUCCCCAACUGGACCACAAAUGGCCCAACCUGAUCUCCAGGAACCAGUGGCCCUGCCUCAUACCAGAGCAGCUCCAACUGGACCACCAGCAGCCCUUAUUGGACCACCAAAGUCCCCAAUUUGACAGCCAGUAUCCCUUUUAGGACCCUCAGGACACCAUGCAACCCCACUGCAGCAAUCUGGGAAAAGAAACCCAUUACCCAGAUGGACUCCCAAGAGCCUCGACAGUUUCUCUUGGAAACGAUGGUGUGAAAGAAGGCUUUCCAGCUCUCACUACAGUGCGGCCAGAUCAAAGGAAAGAUAAAAGAAGUGGCCAUUGGAGUGGGUGGCGGAUGGGGACACUUGUUAGUGCUUCGGCAUCUUCUUGGGCAGUGGUUUUCAAUCUUGUCCUAGGGGACCCACAGCUCUGCACAUUUUGUAUGUCUCCCUUAAC